RNAcentral lists this ribosomal RNA (481 nucleotides) under uncultured bacterium. RNAcentral's name for it is "bacterial SSU rRNA". It matches the Rfam family "Bacterial small subunit ribosomal RNA", at positions 28 to 506 of the family's 1533-position model. The record is from RNAcentral.
GAUGAACGCUAGCGGCAGGCUUAACACAUGCAAGUCGAGGGGUAUAGUUCUUCGGAAUUAGAGACCGGCGCACGGGUGCGUAACGCGUAUGCAAUCUACCUUUCACAGAGGGAUAGCCCCAGAGAAAUUUGGAUUAAUACCUCAUAGUAUAGCAGUUUCGCAUGAAACCACUAUUAAAGUUCCAACGGUAAAGAUGAGUAUGCGUCCCAUUAGCUAGAUGGUAAGGUAACGGCUUACCAUGGCAAUGAUGGGUAGGGGUCCUGAGAGGGAGAUCCCCACACUGGUACUGAGACACGGACCAGACUCCUACGGGAGGCAGCAGUGAGGAAUAUUGGACAAUGGGCGCAAGCCUGAUCCAGCCAUGCCGCGUGCAGGAAUAAAGGUCCUAUGGAUUGUAAACUGCUUUUAUACAGGAGAAACAACUCCCUCGUCGAGGGAAACCGUUGACGGUACUGUAUGAAUAAGCAUCGGCUAACUCCGU